UGACAUCAAUGACAUCCAAGAACUCAUCAAUGACAUUUUUCUUUCUUCCUCUUCAAUUCUUCUUCUUCACAAACAAUGACACCAAGAACUCAUCAAUGAUAUUUCUUUUUCUUUUUCUUCUUCAUUUUCUUUUUUCUUUUUCUUAUUCAUUUUCUUUCUUCUCUUCAACAAAACACAAAAAACCAUGGAUGCUCCCCCCACACACCAAAUUCUAAAAUCCCAUAAAAAAUUAAUAACUAAUUCUAUUCCAUUUCAAGAACACACACCCCAAAUGGGUCUAUCUUCAAUUCCAUC
Molecule: long non-coding RNA, 294 nt
Filed under: Capsicum annuum
Lineage: Eukaryota; Viridiplantae; Streptophyta; Magnoliopsida; Solanales; Solanaceae
Description: long non-coding RNA (CANN_LNC001447)
Source: RNAcentral